Pimephales promelas (fathead minnow) is the source of this 849-nucleotide non-coding RNA. The record is from RefSeq and is a predicted model, not a curated record. NCBI's taxonomy places the organism in Eukaryota, Metazoa, Chordata, Actinopteri, Cypriniformes, Leuciscidae.
CAAUGAUUUUUAAAUUCAUGAUAUAAAAUGAAUGAUAUUUUAAAUUGUUACAUGUUAUAAUUCUAGAUGUUUAAAUGCUGCGUGCCUUUUGAAUUGUUAUGGUUUCAACGCGCGUGCGAGUCGCAUUCAAAGUUGUCCGAUUCAAAGACAGGAGCGCACGCGAGCAGAUGGAAACCAUGGAAACGAGGAAACCUCUUCAACUGACAAACAGCAAAGAACAGCGUCUCUCUGUUUUUCCACUGCUUUCAGUCUAGAAAAUCAUCAUGAUAUCCUGCUACAGCCCUGUCCCAAGACAACCUCCACGGCUAUGAACUCGACUAAUGAGAUAUCAUUUGACCCUGUGAUUCUUCAGGACCAGAUCUUGAUGCCAUCCACACCCAGUACAUGACAAAGAUGCUGUGACAAAAAGCAGUCAAGCCACUGCAUGUGAUGUGGAAGCCUCUAUGAAGACAUGGCUCCGUAAUCCCUGGGACAGAGAUGGGGAAGGCAAGGAAGGGCCAGAACUGCAGAAAUACCUACUGUUGCCCCUGAGGGGAUUGAUUUUUAAUUUUCAAUCCCCUGUUUUCUGUGGUUAUUGCUGUUUUAAACUGUAUUAUCAUUAAUUAUAAUUAUUAUUAAAUAUAAAUAAAUUAUUUGGGGAAAAAACAUGACCCUCGAUUUAUUGCUGCUAACAAGUCCAAUUGUACUGCAUAUAGUAAUAUGGGUGUACCUACUCUGUGUGCUCAAAUUUUGCAACUGCACCCACAGUGUGCCCACAUCCAGCCUGCUAUAAUUUGUGUGGGCCAGCCCAAAGUCAGCCCACACUUUGGGCUGGCCCACGGUAAGUAGAGUGGGCCCCGAUUGGAGCCA